This 157-nucleotide unclassified non-coding RNA is filed under the name uncultured Helotiales. Its description in RNAcentral is "sequence contains ITS1". The record is from RNAcentral. Lineage: Eukaryota; Fungi; Ascomycota; Leotiomycetes; Helotiales.
CAGAGUUCAUGCCCUCACGGGUAGAUCUCCCACCCUUGAAUAUUUUAUACCUUUGUUGCUUUGGCGGGCCGCUUCGGCUACCGGCUUCGGCUGGUGAGUGCCCGCCAGAGGACCCAAACUCUAUGUUUAGUGAUGUCUGAGUACUAUAUAAUAUUUA